AACUAACCACGGUAACCUGUGGCUAAAAAUUUAGAAUAAGGCGCAGUCCUAUUAUGUUUGUUGGUAGUGUAAUGGACUCCCAAGGCAACAAUGGGUGACGGGAAAUCAGGGUUUGAUUCCGGAGAGGGAGCCUGAGAGAUGGCUCCCACGUCCAAGGACGGCAGCAGGCGCGAAAAUUGUCCACUUUUUUGAGAAGAGACAUUUAUUAGACGUGACUAAAAGAGCGUAGUUUAAAAAACUAUGUGUAAAGUUAUUGGAGGGUAAGUUUGGUGCCAGCAGCCGCGGUAAUUCCGACUCCAAGAGUGUUCAUGAUGGUUGUUGCAGUUAAAACGUCCGUAGCUGUAGAUGCAAUUAAAACACGAUGAUAAAAAUCGUAGAGUUUGCUAAAUAUUGCUAGCGGAAUGGAUAGGGAACGUGGUAUAGGUAGACAAAGAAUGAAAUCUCUAGACUCUACCUGGACCAACAGAGGCGAAAGCGACGUUCUUAGACGUAUCCGAGGGUCAAGGACUAAGGCUGGAGUAUUGAAAGUGAUUAGAUACCGCUGUAAUUCUAGCAGUAAACUAUGCCGACAAUUUUUAGUGACUUUUUAAAAAGUUUGCUGGGAAUAAGAGAAAUCAAGUUUUCGGGCUCUGGGGAUAGUACAGCCGCAAGACUGAAACUUAAACGAUAUUGGCGGAAGUUUACCACCAGUAGUGGAUUAUGCCGCUUAAUUUAACUCAACGCGGGAAAACUUACCAGGGUCAAGUUUAUCGUAGAUUGAUUACAUGAGAUAAACGAGAGUGGUGCAUGGCCGUUGUAAAUUGAUGGAAUGAUCUUUAACUUAAGUGUUGGAAUCAGUGAGAUCUAUGAGACAGGUGCUUUUUAAGUACAGGAAGGUGUAGACGAUAACAGGUCCGUAAUGCCCUCAGAUAUCCUGGGCAGCAAGCGUAAUACAAUAUCACUUAAAAAAAUAAAGAAAUUUGUGAUAAGCAGGAUUAGCUUUUGUAAAUAAGCUAUGAACGAGGAAUUACUAGUAACGGUGCCUCAUCAAGGCAUGGUGAAUG
This is a ribosomal RNA of 1043 nucleotides. It matches the Rfam family "Microsporidia small subunit ribosomal RNA", at positions 122 to 1170 of the family's 1311-position model.